Molecule: ribosomal RNA, 429 nt
Filed under: Chloroflexota bacterium
Lineage: Bacteria; Bacillati; Chloroflexota
Description: Chloroflexi bacterium partial 16S ribosomal RNA
Rfam family: Bacterial small subunit ribosomal RNA
Source: RNAcentral
UGGGGAAUAUUGCACAAUGGGCGCAAGCCUUAUGCAGCCAUGCCGCGUGUAUGAAGAAGGCCUUCGGGUUGUAAAGUACUUUCAGCGGGGAGGAAGGGAGUAAAGUUAAUACCUUUGCUCAUUGACGUUACCCGCAGAAGAAGCACCGGCUAACUCCGUGCCAGCAGCCGCGGUAAUACGGAGGGUGCAAGCGUUAAUCGGAAUUAAUGGGCGUAAAGCGCACGCAGGCGGUUUGUUAAGUCAGAUGUGAAAUCCCCGGGCUCAACCUGGGAACUGCAUCUGAGACUGGCAAGCUUGAGUCUCGUAGAGGGGGGUAGAAUUCCAGGUGUAGCGGUGAAAUGCGUAGAGAUCUGGAGGAAUACCGAUGGCGAAGGCGGCCCCCUGGACGAAGACUGACGCUCAGGUGCGAAAGCGUGGGGAGCAAACAGG